RNAcentral lists this ribosomal RNA (273 nucleotides) under uncultured bacterium. Its description in RNAcentral is "partial 16S ribosomal RNA". It matches the Rfam family "Bacterial small subunit ribosomal RNA", at positions 524 to 796 of the family's 1533-position model. The record is from RNAcentral.
UACGGAGGGUGCAAGCGUUAUCCGGAUUCACUGGGUUUAAAGGGUGUGUAGGCGGGCUGUUAAGUCAGUGGUGAAAUCUCCGGGCUCAACCCGGAAACUGCCAUUGAUACUAUCAGUCUUGAAUCUUGUUGAGGUAGGCGGAAUAUGUCAUGUAGCGGUGAAAUGCUUAGAUAUGACAUAGAACACCGAUUGCGAAGGCAGCUUACUAAGCAAGUAUUGACGCUGAGGCACGAAAGCGUGGGGAUCAAACAGGAUUAGAUACCCCGGUAGUCC